Small nuclear RNA from Sorex araneus (European shrew), 114 nucleotides. Its record names the gene U5. It matches the Rfam family "U5 spliceosomal RNA". From Rfam's summary of the family: U5 RNA is a component of both types of known spliceosome. The precise function of this molecule is unknown, though it is known that the 5' loop is required for splice site selection and p220 binding, and that both the 3' stem-loop and the Sm site are important for Sm protein binding and cap methylation. The record is from Ensembl. NCBI's taxonomy places the organism in Eukaryota, Metazoa, Chordata, Mammalia, Eulipotyphla, Soricidae.
AGGCCAGCCUCUUCAGGUCGCAUAAAUCUUUCACCUUUUACUAAAGAUUUCCGUGGAGAGGCACAAUUCUGAGCUUUGAACCAUUAUUCUGCAAGGCUAAUAAUAUAAAGCCAC